Molecule: ribosomal RNA, 260 nt
Filed under: uncultured Planctomycetota bacterium
Lineage: Bacteria; Pseudomonadati; Planctomycetota
Description: uncultured planctomycete partial 16S ribosomal RNA
Rfam family: Bacterial small subunit ribosomal RNA
Source: RNAcentral
AAGCGGUGGAGGAUGUGGCUUAAUUCGAGGCUACGCGAAGAACCUUAUCCUAGUCUUGACAUGCACGGAUCAACCCGGUGAAAGCCGGGCCACGCCUUCGGGUGGAACGUGCACAGGUGCUGCAUGGCUGUCGUCAGCUCGUGUCGUGAGAUGUCGGGUUAAGUCCCUUAACGAGCGAAACCCUUGUCGCUAGUUGCCAGCGAGUCAUGUCGGGGACUCUAGCGAGACCGCCGGUGUUAAACCGGAGGAAGGUGGGGAUG